Molecule: long non-coding RNA, 1104 nt
Filed under: Apteryx owenii (little spotted kiwi)
Lineage: Eukaryota; Metazoa; Chordata; Aves; Apterygiformes; Apterygidae
Description: lncRNA (ENSAOWG00000009728.1)
Source: RNAcentral
CAGAAAAAAUGUGGUGGCUAGUCCCUGUGUAUUAAUCUUAAUUAAAUUUUUUCUUUGCAAAUCUGACGUGACAUCAGGUUUCUCUCAAGAGGGUGCCUUGUGAAACGUUACAGGGAAGAGCGCACGGGUUCGCAGAGCCGCUCUCAACGUCCCCAAAGGGCUUUUAGCACUCAAGAUUUGCACAGGUCCUGCCACAGCCAGCAGAGAUGGGCGCUUCGGAGUCACCGCCGGGCCAUCUCACAACGUGCGCUGGAGUGGCCGUUCCUGCCGAGACCUUCUGCAAGACGCUCCUCUGAAGAGCCAGAAUGAAAAGGAUGAACCCGUCAUCCCUGCUUUGCUCCACUUGUCUCUGCUGUGCUGAAGAUCAAGCACCGAAACAGAACUCCAGUAUCAGGCUGUCUGCGAAAGAGCCCAAAUUUGCCUUGCCCUGGUUGGAAAGUAGAGCUGAGGUUCAAACGUGGAUUGCAAGUGGCCUGUGACGGAGAGACUCAGCAGAGGAAAGUUAUGCCAACCACUGUGGUAUCUGACGUGAAGCAAGGAUAAAAUUCAUUAACAAUAUUCUAACAAGCAGUUUCCUUGGAUAAUGGUGCGGGGGCUCUGCUUGGGCAUUUGGUGCCAGUGGUCCCAUGGGGACACACUGGUCCGGACCUUUUCAGAUGUCACAUAACUUCCUUCAGAGUCCCUCGCGUGCAUGUGCAGCACGUGUGUUUGCUGGCAGACAGGUCUACGGCCACGACACGCUCCAGAGAUCAGGAGGCGCCUUGGGCACGGCCCUGCGGAGCAGGAGGUGAAGCCUGCUUUAUCCCGGGCAUGCCAAGAGCGUCGCCCAGCUCGGACCGUCCAUCCAUCAGGAGCCAGUGCCAGAGCUCUCAUCCCAAAGGAACGGGCUCAGAUUCAUCUGCUCCAGAGAUAAGCAUUUCAAGGAGCGUUUCAACUGAGAUGAAAGGCCUGUGCUGAGGAAGUUGUUUGGCGGAUGUUUGCAUGCCGGCGGCUCGCAGUGCCCAGCGCUAGGUCUCUGCUGCGUGCAGCUUUGCUGGGGGAGCCCCGCUGGCUGCUCUCAGCUGCCGGCCGCAGGACUGAGGGUGAGGUUCACGUUUGAGGCAC